Molecule: RNA transcript, 1730 nt
Organism: Cucumis sativus (cucumber)
Lineage: Eukaryota; Viridiplantae; Streptophyta; Magnoliopsida; Cucurbitales; Cucurbitaceae
Exons: 8
Source: RefSeq, a predicted model, not a curated record
UUGUUUUGCUAUCUCCUUGUGAGACAUUUUUAGUUUAUGUGUGUUAUUUUGUAGCUUGCUUGCAUUUUGUAUUAUGGAUUGUUUUGAAUUUUUUAUUUUUUCCAUUGUUGUUCGAUGUCUUUUUACAGGACAUUUUUAAUUUAGAUUCAUUAAGGAUCAACCAUCAUGUUUGCAGUUUCCUCCUAAGAUCUAUUCUCUUAUUAAUCAAGAAAAUUGUGAAUCUUUUGUGGACCCUAGACUGACCGAAGAAUGGAAGGAUUAUAGUCGCACUCAAAGGGAAAGAAGAUCAAAAUGCAUAUACAAUCAUCACAUUGCUCGUAAGGAAUAUGCAAAUCUUGCCAAAGAAUUAGAGGCAUUAGCUGAAACACAUAAAGAUGAGGACAUAUUGACUGAGGCAUUGGGUUCUAAGGAGCAUGGUGGACGUGUACGUGGCAUGGGUGGUUUUGUCUCUCAAUCACUAUAUUUCAAGGCAGUGAAAGGGAAAGGGAAAAUUGUAAGUUCUCAAAUUGAAGUAUGUCAUAUAGAGGAUGACUAAAAAAGUAAGAGUUACAAGAAGAGUCAUAACUACUCAAAACCGUCCAUCGGAAAUGUUAACAUAGAUCUCAAUGCCGAUGAGGAUUUGGGCAACACCCCUAUGAACGAAGAAGUGAAGGGAACACCAUGCAAAUUGGCUAUAGGAACGAUUAAUAAUAUCGUUGCAAUAGCCACCAUACUUGAUGAUAGCAAUGACGGUCUCAAUGUUAAAGUCUUGGUGGACUUGCUCACGGGAGGAGAUUGUAGUAUACCUAUUCCAGUGAAGGGCAAGAUAGAGACUUUAAAUCAAGCAUUAGGUAAUAUUGUUGAAUGGUCUCGUCGACUUGUUUAUGUGAUUCAUAACAAAGAAGAGCAUUCAACCCCGAAGGAUGUUCUGUAUUCUUUAAAUUACACAAAUGUUAAUGGAACCAUUAAGAUCUUAUAUGGACAUGUCGUGAAGAGUAUAAAGGGUGUAGAUAUGGUUCGUAUCCCAAUGAACGAGCUAAUAUUCGGUAAAAACAAAUUCAUUUAUUUAGAUCGUGAGGACUUGAUCCACUAUUGCAGCUAGUAGAAAUAGGCUAUAUGUGCAUCCUAGCAUACAUUACAUAUCUUUGGGAUGAAUGUGAUUGUGGAAACAAGUUUUUUGUUAUCAACCAAGCAAAAAUAACAUCACAUAUCAAGGAUCGUGAUCUCCGAUCCAGAAAUUUUGCCAACCAGUUAGAAGCGACUACCUUGGAACAAAUAGUUCUAAUUCCGUAUAAUACUGGUUUUCAUUGGAUGUUGCAUGUCAUCGAUCUUCGAGGGAACUGUGUUUAUGUUUUGGACUCUCUUCGAAGUAAAGUUAACGAAGACAUCCAUGGAGUCAUAAAUGUGCAAGAGGAGAUUGACGAGAUUCACACAAAAUGGGCAAGCUUUGUUAGUCGAUUUGGGUAAGCUUUAUAUAUGUGUUGUAUUGUAGUGUUUUAGGUGUUACUUUAUAGUGUAUUUGUUGUAGUACUAUGUGAAAAAUGUGUGUUAGUGGAGGAAUUUGUUGUACACAUACUUUAAUACUUUACAUAUUAUUUACUUGAUUGAUAUGUGUAUUUCUGUAGUAGUAUGAAAGUGUGGAAAAGUGUAUUUCUGUAGUUUGUCAUGGAAGUGUGGAAGUUUAUGUGCUGGUUUUGUAGGUGUCUUACAUGUUGAAUCCUAUGGCUAAAAUAUAUUAAUUUUCCAUGGAA